Molecule: unclassified non-coding RNA, 1902 nt
Filed under: Hevea brasiliensis (rubber tree)
Lineage: Eukaryota; Viridiplantae; Streptophyta; Magnoliopsida; Malpighiales; Euphorbiaceae
Source: RNAcentral
UUUAAAAGAGAGAAAACUUUCCAGCACUGGAAUUAAGGAUUUUUUGAGGUUUUUAUCAAAUUCUUGCCCAAUACAAGAUAUAUUCAUUCCGAGAAAGCUAAAGAAAUAGAAAUUUUAGUUCUAUUUGAUUGAGCAACAGCAACUUGAACCAAGCUGUUCUAAAGCGUCUUAACAACAUUUGGAUGGGCCUCUAAAAAUUGAGAGCAUUUCCUUCACUGUAUCAAAGAAACUCCAAGCGUGCGGAGAUCGAGAAAACUGAAUCAAAAUUCUUCUACAGGCCAAAAACCACAAUGAUAGAGAAGGAAAAGAAUGGAAAAAAAUGUUGUCAGGUAUGGUGCUAAGGUUCAUUUGCGAGGGGUUGUUGGAACAGCUGUCACCGCAUAACCCUUAACUUCUAAUGCUCUUGGAGAUAACCUGGAUAUAUGUCCUGGUUUACCUAAGGGGACCUAUGAUUCUGCUAGUAGUUUUGAACCCUCAUCGGUGAUCAAUAAUGAUUGGUUGAGUAGAAGUGAAGUGGGGAAGGUGCAUCAUCAGACCAUGAUACUUUCUAUCCAAUCUUGUUUUCAAACAGCGGGAGUUCAUACUAUUCAAUCAACCUCAUCUCUGAAUUUCAUUCACAAAAUCAUAGCAAUUGAUGUGGGAAACUCUAAUUUCAUAUUAUCGGCUAUUGAAGACAAUUGCGGUGAAGCUCUCAUCACCUCUAAAGUUCUGCCUAUGUCACCAGUGGUGAGAGUUCAUUCCCUGAAACAGAUUUCAUCAAUGGCAAUACUCAAGAAGAACCGAGUUUGAUAUUCCGAGUCACCAAGUGAGUGAGCCGAGUCAUCUGAUUCCCUAUUAACAGGAGACAGUUUUGAGGCUUCCAAGAGUGGAGAGCUGCUACAUGGCCUUCAUCCUAUUUGUAACUAGCAUGAUGGGGUCCCUGCUGGUAUCUUACUGGAUAUCUCACUUGAGCUUUUGGAGAACCAUAACAAUUAUGAGACUCUCUCUUCCACCUCCCCUUAAUUCGGAAGAUUGUGAGCUGCAGAGUAAUGGUUGGGCUACUAAUAAGGAGCCCAUGGCUAAUGAGCUUUCACAAUAUAACGGGCUUCUAAUCAAAACUCGGAUCUCAUCCCUUAUAACAGCCCAAAUCAUGAAGAAUAUCUAGACAUGAAAUUUCGGGCGAGCCUCUCUUACCAACAUCCAUUUCAAUUGACAAAAACUCAUCCAUUUCAGCUGAUAAAAACUAGGGUGUGCUUCCUUUCAAAACUUCAGCCUCUGGAAUCCUCAAGCAAUGGGGCAAGCCUAAGCUUCUCUUUGAUUUGCUAGAUUUCUCUCCCAAAUUGAACAGGGGAGGCAAGAAGGGACAGAAACAAAUUAAAGUGGGUAGGACCAAUCGAGAAGGUGGAAGUAGUUGUACUGAUGUCUCCCUCAAACCGAAUGUGGAAAUUGUCUGACUGAACAACUGGACAAGAGUGACAUCUGUUGGGUUAUUCCUAGACAUGCAAAGGACCAAACUUCUCGAGAUGAUGCGGGUUUGGAUGUAAAUUCUGAAGCAACUAUGUUGGGGAUUGGGAAGGAACUGGGUUUGACGAAUUCUGAAUCGGACGAGGCAACGUUGUUAUUUUUCUUAAAUCAGAUUAAAUCUUAUCAGGUUCAUCGCUCUAAUGCUGCAAUUUGAUUUGCUCUGUCAUUGGGUGCUGCUGGUCUCUUUAUUAUUAUUAUUAUUUUGAUUCUUGGGGUUUUUGAAACUGACUUGUUUGUCAAUAAAUCGAAGCCCACUUUAUAUUGAGACAAAAGCAAACCAUCGUCGUGGCCUUGCUCUUUCACCGUAAACCCUUAGGAGAGAUUUUCUUAGCACCAAAACAAGAACUGAAGGACACGAGUACACUGGAAUGUCGUUGUCGUUUACUUUGAAGCAACCGU